CAUUCAUACAAAUCCCCCAUGUAACUUUGGAUCAUCAAUUUCCAGCAAAUGGGCUGUUUGCAAGUGCCGUCCCUGCCUCACCCCUGGCUGAAUGGUUGCCUCUGACACACAGCACCCCGACUGCUCCCAGGGCAGAUGAAUGAAACUUUGUCAGAGAGCACUGAAUGAAGAAGAAGGAGCUCAUUUCCCUUCCCAGAUUCCUCCUGAAUUCACGGGAGCUGAACAAAUAGUAUCAGAAAGUGUAUCAGUUUCUUCCAGCAAAGACACUGUACAGUCACAGGCAGCUGCACUGUGGAAAAUGUAAAUGCAAUAGAAAACACAGACUUGGAGGAGCAGCUGUUGUCCCCUCCAGGUCAAGCAGUGGUCUUGAAAGAUGAACCAGCACAGAGGGAACUCAGAAGGAGCAAGAUGUUUAUAUCCAAAGCCAGAACUGUAUUUCCCACGGUCCCAUCCAAAGAACUCCAGCUGCAAACAAAUCCAGGGGAGCAUCAGCCUUUUCUACAGCAGUGAUUGUUGGUACUACCUCACUGUGCUGCUGAUGUCCACCGUGCAAUGUGCCCACUGCAUGGUGCCAGAGAGAAGCACGAUUAAGGGAAGGCUAGCAGAAAGGAGAGAGAAUGUAUAGCAUAGAAGCCUAGAAAGCAGCAGCAUCAGCAGACCAAGAGGAGGUUAUUCCCGUGA
Molecule: long non-coding RNA, 681 nt
Filed under: Phasianus colchicus (ring-necked pheasant)
Lineage: Eukaryota; Metazoa; Chordata; Aves; Galliformes; Phasianidae
Description: lncRNA (ENSPCLG00000000651.1)
Source: RNAcentral